Molecule: unclassified non-coding RNA, 253 nt
Filed under: uncultured Saccharospirillaceae bacterium
Lineage: Bacteria; Pseudomonadati; Pseudomonadota; Gammaproteobacteria; Oceanospirillales; Saccharospirillaceae
Description: contains 16S-23S intergenic spacer region
Rfam family: Bacterial small subunit ribosomal RNA
Source: RNAcentral
UACGGAGGGUGCAAGCGUUAAUCGGAAUUACUGGGCGUAAAGCGCGCGUAGGCGGCAAGUUAAGUUGGGUGUGAAAGCCCCGGGCUCAACCAGGGAACUGCAUCCAUAACUGGCUAGCUUGAGUACGGCAGAGGACAGUGGAAUUGCCGGUGUAGCGGUGAAAUGCGUAGAGAUCGGAAGGAACACCAGUGGCGAAGGCGACUGUCUGGGCUGAUACUGACGCUGAGGUGCGAAAGCAUGGGGAGCAAACAGG